CCUACGGGAGACAGCAGUGAGGAAUAUUGGUCAAUGGGCUUACGCCUGAACCAGCCAAGUCGCGUGAGGGAAGACUGCCCUAUGGGUUGUAAACCCCUUUUGCCAGGGAGCAAUUUGCGCUACGUGUAGCGUUAUCGAGAGUACCUGCAGAAAAAGCAUCGGCUAACUCCGUGCCAGCAGCCGCGGUAAUACGGAGGAUGCGAGCGUUAUCCGGAUUUAUUGGGGUAAAAGGGUGCGUAGGCGGAAUGCCAAGUCAGCGGUAAAAUCGCGGGGCUCAACCGCGCUCCGCCGUUGAAACUGGCGUUCUUGAGUGGGCGAGAGGUAUGCGGAAUGCGUGGUGUAGCGGUGAAAUGCGUAGAUAUCACGCGGAACACCAGUUGCGAAGGCAGCAUACCGG
This 397-nucleotide ribosomal RNA is filed under the name uncultured bacterium. RNAcentral describes it as "partial 16S ribosomal RNA". It matches the Rfam family "Bacterial small subunit ribosomal RNA", at positions 338 to 732 of the family's 1533-position model. The record is from RNAcentral.